Molecule: ribosomal RNA, 253 nt
Filed under: uncultured bacterium
Lineage: Bacteria
Description: partial 16S ribosomal RNA
Rfam family: Bacterial small subunit ribosomal RNA
Source: RNAcentral
GACGGAAGGUGCAAGCGUUGCUCGGAAUCACUGGGCGUAAAGGGUGCGUAGGCGGCUUGGUAGGUCUGGUGUGGAAGCCCCGGGCUCAGCCCGGGAAGGGCACUAGAAACUGCCAAGCUAGAGUGCCGGAGGGGAGAGUGGAAUUCCUGGUGUAGCGGUGAAAUGCGUAGAGAUCAGGAGGAAUACCGGUGGCGAAAGCGACUCUCUGGACGGCAACUGACGCUGAGGCACGAAAGCGUGGGGAGCAAACAGG